CUCCUCUCACAAAUGGAAGAAGAGCCCAUGAUUUCAUGGAGAGAACCUCAGACCGAUCUGAGCGUUGAAAAACUUUUGUCUGAGAAGGGCCUAUCUGCUCUGUGGGAUGUUCUCUGUAACACGCCUUUUAAAGGGCAAGGCUUUGAGGUGGAAAACCUGCAUACUCUCCUGGGAGAAAUGGAAGACUGGGCCUGUCAGCUGUAC
Long non-coding RNA from Sardina pilchardus (European sardine), 204 nucleotides. RefSeq lists it as uncharacterized. The transcript has 3 exons. Lineage: Eukaryota; Metazoa; Chordata; Actinopteri; Clupeiformes; Clupeidae. The record is from RefSeq and is a predicted model, not a curated record.